AUGGCGGCAAUCCAAGCCACGCCUGCAGAAAAAUCGCCAGGGCCAGACGGCUUCAGUGGGCAGUUCUUCAGAUUGUGCUGGGGGAUUAUCAAAGAAGAUGUGCUGCAGGCGUUCAACCAAUUCUAUAGCUUGGCCGGCAACAAUUUCGGCCUGCUCAACUCCGCGAUCGUUGCCCUGAUCCCUAAAAAGGACGGCGCGAGCGGCAUCGGCGACUACCGCCCGAUUAGCCUGAUCCACUCCAUCGCCAAGCUUGUCUCCAAAGUUCUAUCAAUCAGGCUGGCUCCAGUUAUCCAGAACAUCAUAUCGCCGGCCCAUACAACUUUUCUAAAAUCCAGAUGUCUCCAUGAUAGUUUCGUCUAUGUGCAGAACUGUGUUAGG
This 378-nucleotide ribosomal RNA is filed under the name Triticum aestivum (bread wheat). Its description in RNAcentral is "partial small subunit ribosomal RNA". The record is from RNAcentral. Lineage: Eukaryota; Viridiplantae; Streptophyta; Magnoliopsida; Poales; Poaceae.